RNAcentral lists this ribosomal RNA (486 nucleotides) under uncultured bacterium. RNAcentral's name for it is "bacterial SSU rRNA". It matches the Rfam family "Bacterial small subunit ribosomal RNA", at positions 28 to 511 of the family's 1533-position model. The record is from RNAcentral.
GAUGAACGCUAGCGGCAGGCUUAAUACAUGCAAGUCGUGGGGCAGCAUGAGUAGCAAUACUUGAUGGCGACCGGCAAACGGGUGAGGAACACGUACACAACCUUCCUUCAAGCGGGGAAUAGCCCAGAGAAAUUUGGAUUAAUACCCCAUAAUAUAUUUGAUAAGGCAUCUUAUUAAUAUUAAAGCUUCGGCACUUGAUGAUGGGUGUGCGGCUGAUUAGAUAGUUGGCGGGGUAACGGCCCACCAAGUCUACGAUCAGUAGCUGAUGUGAGAGCAUGAUCAGCCACACGGGCACUGAGACACGGGCCCGACUCCUACGGGAGGCAGCAGUAAGGAAUAUUGGACAAUGGACGAAAGUCUGAUCCAGCCAUGCCGCGUGAAGGAUUAAGGUCCUCUGGAUUGUAAACUUCUUUAUAUGGGACGAAAAGGGCAUUCUUGUUCACUUGACGGUACCAUAUGAAUAAGCACCGGCUAACUCCGUGCCAG